GAUCCGAACACCAACAUCAUGAUAAAGAACAACUACAAGCUUAUCCUCGAUGCUAUGGAGGAAGGCAACGUUGAGCUGAUGUCUGCCCUCACUGAGGCCACCAAGUGUGUGGAGGAGUUUAGGUCUGCAGAGUGACUCCAGUCCUCAGGCGGGCCAAGGCUUCAGAGGAUACCAGGCUGAGGAUCAAUGGGGAUUCAGUUCUUACUUCCGGACUUUAUAUUUUCUAAGGCUUAUGGAUUUACGCCUUUAUAUUUCCUAAGGCUUACGGUUAUACUAUAGUGUUACGUAGUGUUGUCGGAGCAUUUAUUGGUGCAGCAGUUACUUGCAUCCUGAGUGUUGCAGGGUGUGGCUGUUACUCUGCACUCGUGUACCCAGGCAGGUUUUUACACACCUUUUCAGGCACUUGUGUACCCAGGCAGGUUUUUACACACCUUUUCAGGCACUUGUGUACCCAGGCAGGUUUUUACACACCUUUUCAGGCACUUGUGUACCCAGGCAGGUUUUUACACACCUUUUCAGGCACUUGUGUACCCAGGCAGGUUUUUACACACCUUUUCAGGCACUUGUGUACCCAGGCAGGUUUUUACACACCUUUUCAGGCACUUGUGUACCCAGGCAGGUUUUUACACACCUUUUCAGGCACUUGUGUACCCAGGCAGGUUUUUACACACCUUUUCAGGCACUUUUGUACCCAGGCAGGUAGUAACACACA
Eriocheir sinensis (Chinese mitten crab) is the source of this 712-nucleotide long non-coding RNA. RefSeq lists it as uncharacterized. The record is from RefSeq and is a predicted model, not a curated record. Lineage: Eukaryota; Metazoa; Arthropoda; Malacostraca; Decapoda; Varunidae. The transcript is spliced from 4 exons.